Long non-coding RNA from Triticum dicoccoides, 1021 nucleotides. RefSeq lists it as uncharacterized. The record is from RefSeq and is a predicted model, not a curated record. Lineage: Eukaryota; Viridiplantae; Streptophyta; Magnoliopsida; Poales; Poaceae. The transcript is spliced from 8 exons.
UCCGGUCACCGGUCAGUCGCCCCUUAGCCGGCCAACACGCCGCGCCCCGAAUCCUCCUCUUCCCCGAACGCGCUGGCGCGCCUCCCCGGAGCCUCCCACGGCAAGGUCUCAACAACGCAAUCCUGCUACUGCUAGCGCUAGCGAAGGGGGCAGCAACGAACACCGAGCUGGGGAUGGUCAGCAUAAGCAAGGCAGAUAUCGUUGAGCCAAAGAGAAGUUUGUAGUGCACAAUUGCGUCGACGCAAAUCCGACAAUGGACAGAUCAAUUUCUCCUUCGCGGGUAGUACCAAAGAGAAGUUUCCAACCGCCCACAAACGAGAGACAGGGGCAGAGGCAGAGGAAAUAUAAAACCUCCAUGUUCUGAUCAGUCCUCUCAAAUGUAAGCUGAACAAGGUACCGUAUUAUCGUUCUAUAUGCGAUGAACGGUAGCAGGUUGAGGUCUACCGCCGGCUCUCCCGGUACUACAUCCAAGCCCAUGAGUUACCCUCGCCCGGAGAGGAACCAGAUAAUGCACAACUGAGCAAGGAAUUGGAGCGUUGUUUGGAUGCUUAUGAACUAAAUUUCCUCCAGCGCGCCAAAGACAAUCCUGAAUGGUACUUCCAUCCUGAACAAUGCAAGCUUGCCGGCUUGGAAGACUACCAGCGGCUAGUGCUUCCUGAUCAUGGUAUGUAUGGAGAUUUGAAGCAAUACCGCCUGUAUUAUCAUACCUACCAGGAAGAUGUAGAGUAUGUCCAGUUCCGUGAGCAGAUGGCGGAGCAAAUUAAGUGGAUUGACAAUGAAGCAGCACUCUUCGGCGAUCAGCGGCUGAGAAACGAGCUAGAGGCUUUUCUUCAAACACUGAGGAUUGCGAAACGGUUUCCGUAUAUUUCCAGACGCUCAGUUGUCUCUGCCUUACGUGAGCAUCUAUAUAGCCUUCGGUUUGACUUUAACCACCGGAAGGACUUGAUGAAUUUCGGUGACGCUUUGAAGCAAUUGUAUGAAGAGAACAUUUCCCCCUUCCGCAGGCCUGACAUCAAAUUAG